AUCCCGUUUGAAUCACAAGUAUGAUGGUUGGAUGCUAGGGCUGUGAUAUGAGGUGUGUCUCCUUUGAACGUUGUUAUGGGAUAAACCCGUGACCUAUCUGAAA
Small nucleolar RNA from Sorex fumeus (smoky shrew), 103 nucleotides. RefSeq annotates it as small nucleolar RNA U13. The record is from RefSeq and is a predicted model, not a curated record. NCBI's taxonomy places the organism in Eukaryota, Metazoa, Chordata, Mammalia, Eulipotyphla, Soricidae. The transcript has a single exon.